GAUGAACGCUGGCGGCGUGCCUAAUACAUGCAAGUCGAGCGAACAGAUAAGGAGCUUGCUCCUUUGACGUUAGCGGCGGACGGGUGAGUAACACGUGGGUAACCUACCUAUAAGACUGGAAUAACUCCGGGAAACCGGGGCUAAUGCAGGAUAACAUGUUGAACCGCAUGGUUCUACAGUGAAAGGCGGCUUUGCUGUCACUUAUAGAUGGACCCGCGCCGUAUUAGCUAGUUGGUGAGGUAACGGCUCACCAAGGCAACGAUACGUAGCCGACCUGAGAGGGUGAUCGGCCACACUGGAACUGAGACGCGGUCCAGACUCCUACGGGAGGCAGCAGUAGGGAAUCUUCCGCAAUGGGCGAAAGCCUGACGGAGCAACGCCGCGUGAGUGAUGAAGGUCUUCGGAUCGUAAAACUCUGUUAUUAGGGAAGAACAAAUGCGUAAGUAACUGUGCGCGUCUUGACGGUACCUAAUCAGAAAGCCACGGCUAACUACGUG
This 497-nucleotide ribosomal RNA is filed under the name uncultured bacterium. Its description in RNAcentral is "partial 16S ribosomal RNA". It matches the Rfam family "Bacterial small subunit ribosomal RNA", at positions 28 to 507 of the family's 1533-position model. The record is from RNAcentral.